UACAGGGGGUGCAAACGUUGCUCGGAAUUAUUGGGCGUAAAGCGCGCGUAGGCGGCCGUUUAAGUCGGAUGUGAAAGCCCCUGGCUCAACUGGGGAAGUGCACCCGAAACUGAAUGGCUUGAGUACUAAAGAGGGUCGCGGAAUUCCCGGUGUAGAGGUGAAAUUCGUAGAUAUCGGGAGGAAUACCAGUGGCGAAGGCGGCGACCUGGGCCAAUACUGACGCUGAGGUGCGAAAGCGUGGGGAGCAAACAGG
Molecule: ribosomal RNA, 253 nt
Filed under: uncultured bacterium
Lineage: Bacteria
Description: partial 16S ribosomal RNA
Rfam family: Bacterial small subunit ribosomal RNA
Source: RNAcentral